RNAcentral lists this ribosomal RNA (1441 nucleotides) under uncultured organism. RNAcentral describes it as "SSU rRNA". It matches the Rfam family "Bacterial small subunit ribosomal RNA". The record is from RNAcentral.
CUAGCUACAGGCUUAACACAUGCAAGUCGAGGGGCAUCAGGAAGAAAGCUUGCUUUCUUUGCUGGCGACCGGCGCACGGGUGAGUAACACGUAUCCAACCUGCCCUUUACUCGGGGAUAGCCUUUCGAAAGAAAGAUUAAUACCCGAUAGCAUAAUGAUUCCGCAUGGUUUCAUUAUUAAAGGAUUCCGGUAAAGGAUGGGGAUGCGUUCCAUUAGGUUGUUGGUGAGGUAACGGCCCACCAAGCCUUCGAUGGAUAGGGGUUCUGAGAGGAAGGUCCCCCACAUUGGAACUGAGACACGGUCCAAACUCCUACGGGAGGCAGCAGUGAGGAAUAUUGGUCAAUGGGCGCUAGCCUGAACCAGCCAAGUAGCGUGAAGGAUGAAGGCUCUAUGGGUUGUAAACUUCUUUUAUAUAAGAAUAAAGUGCAGUAUGUAUACUGUUUUGUAUGUAUUAUAUGAAUAAGGAUCGGCUAACUCCGUGCCAGCAGCCGCGGUAAUACGGAGGAUCCGAGCGUUAUCCGGAUUUAUUGGGUUUAAAGGGAGCGUAGGUGGACUGGUAAGUCAGUUGUGAAAGUUUGCGGCUCAACCGUAAAAUUGCAGUUGAUACUGUCAGUCUUGAGUACAGUAGAGGUGGGCGGAAUUCGUGGUGUAGCGGUGAAAUGCUUAGAUAUCACGAAGAACUCCGAUUGUGAAGGCAGCUCACUGGACUGCAACUGACACUGAUGCUCGAAAGUGUGGGUAUCAAACAGGAUUAGAUACCCUGGUAGUCCACACAGUAAACGAUGAAUACUCGCUGUUUGCGAUAUACAGUAAGCGGCCAAGCGAAAGCAUUAAGUAUUCCACCUGGGGAGUACGCCGGCAACGGUGAAACUCAAAGGAAUUGACGGGGGCCCGCACAAGCGGAGGAACAUGUGGUUUAAUUCGAUGAUACGCGAGGAACCUUACCCGGGCUUAAAUUGCAGUGGAAUGAUGUGGAAACAUGUCAGUGAGCAAUCACCGCUGUGAAGGUGCUGCAUGGUUGUCGUCAGCUCGUGCCGUGAGGUGUCGGCUUAAGUGCCAUAACGAGCGCAACCCUUAUCUUUAGUUACUAACAGGUUAUGCUGAGGACUCUAGAGAGACUGCCGUCGUAAGAUGUGAGGAAGGUGGGGAUGACGUCAAAUCAGCACGGCCCUUACGUCCGGGGCUACACACGUGUUACAAUGGGGGGUACAGAAGGCAGCUAGCGGGUGACCGUAUGCUAAUCCCAAAAUCCUCUCUCAGUUCGGAUCGAAGUCUGCAACCCGACUUCGUGAAGCUGGAUUCGCUAGUAAUCGCGCAUCAGCCACGGCGCGGUGAAUACGUUCCCGGGCCUUGUACACACCGCCCGUCAAGCCAUGGGAGCCGGGGGUACCUGAAGUACGUAACCGCAAGGAUCGUCCUAGGGUAAAACUGGUGACUGGGG